AGUAAGAGAAGCCAACUUUAGGAGCAUGCUCAUACCCUCAGUGGUAGAGUCUACCUACUGUGUCCCCAAUGUUGGCAGACAGCAAGCAGAAAUUAAUGGUCAUUUAUUGGAAUCCUUUGACUUCAUGAUAUGGUGACUUUGAAUGGUUCUCAGGAAUCCAUUCUUUGAGAGUUUGGAUGUUAUUCCCAUUACUGAAUGUAAAAAGACAAUUCAGAAACAGAGGCAAUCAGAAUUCCUCUCUGGAAAAGCCCCUGUUUCUCCUUCGAUGUGCACAGAAACUUGUCUUCAACUGCAGUACAUUGUCAUACUCUACAAGAUGACUGUGAAAUUGUACAAUGCUUAUACUCACAGAUUUCUUUUACAAUACAUUCUCCUCAAGCCUGUGAAUUUUUCUUUAACUGACCAGGUAAGCAAAUUUACAUACUCAUAGAAUUUUUUUGUAAAUAUGUUUUCCAGACAGUAGGCAAUUCAUUCUGAGACUGGUGUUGGUUUGUUGGACAAAAUCUGCAAAAUCUAUUAUAAAAAAAGUUUAAAAUGCUGUUUUCAGUUUCCAAUUAAAAAAAAAAAAAGUCGAAAUCUCCCAAAUUCUUUAAAUUUCAGUUAGAAACUCAGUUUAUUUUCAAGAUAUGCUUAAUUUUAUUAUUUCUCUCCAUUCUUCUUUUUUCUUGUCGUCUUAGUUUCUUCACCCUUUCUGUUGAUAUUUACAAUUUACAAAUGGAAUUUUUUUUGCUGGGUCAGUCUCUCUCUGCCUGGCUGGGUAUCAGCAUUGCAGACAGGAUUGUCUGUUGAGAACUCAAGAUAAUGUUUUGUCAACACAGGCAGGAAUGGAACAGCAACAGUAGAGUGGCUGGUGGAAAGUGGAAGUGACUUUGGAAAUUUAUGAAUGCCAUUUCUGUAGAGCAGAAAUUAAUAAAUGCAACAAUGUAAUGAAUGCA
This 935-nucleotide long non-coding RNA is filed under the name Anas platyrhynchos platyrhynchos (common mallard). RNAcentral describes it as "lncRNA (ENSAPLG00000028529.1)". The record is from RNAcentral. Lineage: Eukaryota; Metazoa; Chordata; Aves; Anseriformes; Anatidae.